Molecule: unclassified non-coding RNA, 1882 nt
Filed under: Hevea brasiliensis (rubber tree)
Lineage: Eukaryota; Viridiplantae; Streptophyta; Magnoliopsida; Malpighiales; Euphorbiaceae
Source: RNAcentral
CUCUCCGGCAAUAUCGUCAAUCCCUCAGUGAACCAUCCUGCACAGCCUACACCAGCUUGCAUAGAAUUCAACUAGGACUGGUAUAUUACUUAAAAUAAAUUUUCCCAUGAGUCCUUAGUGACAGCUGCAGCUGUACAUACAGCGAAAUUGUGAUUAACAAGGUCAUCAAACAUUAUCCUCUAGAUGUCCCACCAACAUCCUAGCACAAAAUCUUGAUUUUGGAAACAAAUAAACAAGCAGAAAUUUAACAAACACCAGAUAUGUAUGGUUAAAGAUAUCAGUUAACCGAUAAUGAUCAAGAAAUGAACUCGUUCUUCACAAUCACUUGAAUGAACAACAUUACAAAGAAAAAAUGCGAUCUCCGUCUUUUCAAUGGUCUCAACUCAUAUUCAUUUCUCAUGAUUUAAGUUCUAGAAAACACAUUGCACGCACAUGCAUACCCAAUGCAUGGAUGAACUUCUAAUUAGUUCAAAUCAUUCCAGAACUUCUGAAAAACAGAGCUAUUCAGCAAUAUUCACAUUUUUCACCCUGAUUCUUUUCUUUUCUUUCUCCUCUUUCCUACCCCAUUGAGAACAAACAAAAUCAUUACACAAAUACAAACUGGGGCGCUCUAGAUAACGCAAAAAUCAACCAGUUAACAUGAGAAUAAAUAACAAGCAAACAGGAUUUAAGCAACAAUGACUUUAUAAACAUAUGAAAAACCAAGUACAUAUAAAGCCAAUCAUUCUGAACCAAGUUAUAGGACAGAGCAGAAAAAAGAGGACAAAUGAACUCAACAAAAAUUCUCCAUGAGAAAGAAAAUCAAUCCUCCAUCUAUGCUAAAGUGUGACAGAUCUAAAAAGUAAGGUUCCAAAAACAAAGAAGUAAACACAAUCAAGAGAAUAUGUCUAUAUAAACUGUCAACUAUGACUCUUUCCUAUUCUAUUGAUUAUUCUCCACUCUCACUGUAUGGUUCCACAAGCAUAUGCCUCAACAUAGAUCCAAUUCAUCGGUUAACGAAUAUGCACAAAAGCUCUAUUUGCCUCAGCCGUUUUAUGAAUCCAUUCCGUUCGUCUCACAGCAUUUCCAUAAUUCCAUUCCUUUUAGCAGCAUCCAUUAAUUCAGAACUUAACUUGAAAGCCAUAUCUGGACCCUGACGUUCUCUAGCCGCCUUCAACAACCAUCGUAUGGCCAGUGCUCGUCCCUGCGCCGACCAUAACACAAUAGGAACUUGAUGGGUUGAUCCACCAAUACGUCUCACUUUUACAGAUACAUCAGGAGUUACUUCAUGAAUUGCUUGACUCAAAACAAACAAUGGAUUUGAUUUGGUCUUUAGUUGAAACAUUUUCAAAGCUCGAUAGAUAAUAAAAUAAGCCAACUACUUCUUUCCAUUUUUCAGUACACGAUUAACGAACAAGUUAACUAAACGAUUACGAUAAAUUGGAUCAGAUUUCGCAAUUUUUUCUCCUGUAGCAGACCGAUACCAAAUCAAACACGAAUGGGUAUAAUAACAAAACAACAUCAAUACAAACCAAACAAAUUUAACAAAUUCCCAAUCAAGAACUGAAAGAUUUUAGGGUUUUUGGUUUGGGUUAUCUUACCUCGAGAAUCACGAGAGCAAAGAACCCUGAAAGGAGAAGGCGGAGGAGGCGCGCUUUUGACAGAGAGCAUAGCGAGUCUAUUGGAGUGCAAGGUGAAGGGGAAUGGGAGGGAGGGAAGGCGUAGAUGGCAGUGGUGGAGGGAGUACGGGGAGGUGCGUGGAGAAGGAAGAGGAAGAGGAGAGGAAAGUGAAGAAGAAGAAGCCAUUGGAGAAAAGAGAGGAGGUUUGUUAGUAGCAAACGGGUUUUAUUUACAAAGGAAAAGGAGAAUUAGUUGAGAGGAAGAGUUCGGUGGCAUCAGUCAG